This 817-nucleotide small nuclear RNA is filed under the name Staphylococcus aureus. RNAcentral's name for it is "SARs257". The record is from RNAcentral. Lineage: Bacteria; Bacillati; Bacillota; Bacilli; Caryophanales; Staphylococcaceae.
GAAUAUAUUUUAUCACCCCUAAAAUGAUUAUUCAUUUUCAGCGGUAAUUCGACCUAAAGUCAAACUUACAAUAAAACCGAUGAUAAAUACUACUAAUGAAACGAACCACAUCACGAUAUUAGUUGGUAAACCUGGAAAUACUGCAAAGAGGGAGCCAACAACAAAACCAAUGAUUAAUGCAAAAGUCAUUAGUUUAUGAUGUGUUAGGAAAUACUGGAUAAUUUUGCUUGAAAUAAUGAAUCCAGCAAGCACGCCAAAUCCGACUGCAAGUAAUAUAGGAAGACCGGCAAAGUUAAGUUUAACAACUUCAGAUAUUGCUAGCAUGACCGUACCAUAGACGCCAAAUACUAAUAACAUAAAUGACCCUGAAAUACCUGGGAGUAACAUAGCACUAGAUGCACACAUACCUGCAAUAAAGUAUUUAAUAAUAAGACCAGUUGAUAGAGUAAGUGUUUCUCCAGCAUGUUUAUCGCUAUUAUUCAUUAAUGUAAUAACAAUUAAGAUAGCGAUACCAGCUAUAACCAUCAUGUAAUGUUUAGUUGUAAAUGACGUUUUAUAGUUAGAAAUUUUCAAUAAAUAUGGAACGAUACCAAUGAUUAAUCCACCAAAGAAAAACAUAGUUGGAAUAUGGUGUUGGCUUAAUAAAUAAUUAAAAAGAUUACUUAGUGAUCCCAUUGCCAGUAACAUUCCAAUUAUAAUAGGGAUUAAAAAUGUAAAACUUGGCCAAAAACGUCGUGAGAAUAUGCCACUAAUUGAAGCGAUAAAUUGAUUGUAUAUACCUAACAAUAAUGCAAUAGUCCCACCGCUAACACCAGGU